Eriocheir sinensis (Chinese mitten crab) is the source of this 6248-nucleotide long non-coding RNA. RefSeq lists it as uncharacterized. NCBI's taxonomy places the organism in Eukaryota, Metazoa, Arthropoda, Malacostraca, Decapoda, Varunidae. The record is from RefSeq and is a predicted model, not a curated record. The transcript is spliced from 2 exons.
CAGGCCCGCGUGCCCCCCGAGUGCCAUGUGUGGUGGUGGUGGUGGUGGUGAUGAUUAUUAUACCAAGCGAUCAACCAGCGGAGUGUGAAGGCCGUUGCGGUGGUGAUGACUGCGCUGGUGUUGGUGUUGCGGCGGUGUUGGUCGUUUUAUAGUGAUGACUGGUAUUGCUCGAGCUGGUGUUGAAUUCGCAGUGCUGGUGUUGAUGAUACGUGGUGAUGACUGGCUGGUGUUAUGACUUCUAGCGGCUAUGAAGACGUAUCGUGAGGUCAUUCAGGUCACUAACUCCCCCCCACUCCCCCCUCCCUCCGCGUGUGUGUGUGUGUGUGUGUGUAACUGUAAGGUAACAAACUAGCUUCGUUAUGAGGGAGGAAGUAGAAGAUAAGAGUGCGUGAAGAGCCAUUCCCCGCCUCAGAAUGGUGCCUUUCGCGGCCUGAAGACGCUGGUGGGCUUAGGGACGACAUACUUACAGGUCAGGGCCGCGGAGGGAGGGACAGGAAGACGCAGGAACAGAGGGAGGGAGGAAGACGUGGAAUAAUGAUAAAGAAAAACACACAAAGAUGGAAAAACAAAUACAGGAAGACAACACGGAAAGGUAGAUACGCAAAACACAAAGACAGAAACUUAUAGAGAUAGUCACAGGAAGACCCAGGAACAGAGGGAGGAAGGAAGAUUCAGAAUAAUGAUAAGGAAACACACAGGAGAAUAGAAAAAAACAGACACCGGAAGACUGGCUCCUUUGUUGUAAAAAAAAAAAAAAAUAAAGACAGAAACAGAGAACACAAUGACAAACACGCAGAUAGUCAGGAGUGAGGAAGAGAGACUUGGAUUAAGGGCAAAAUAAAACAAGAAAAUCUAAGGAAAUGGCAAUAGAAGAGGGGCGACAUACAGUUCAGGGCCGUAGAAAAGAGGGAAUAGAAAGACACAAAGACAGAAUAAGGAAGAAAGACAAAGAAACACAGAUAAAACACAGAGUAACACAGAAUGGCAGGAACACACAAACACACACACAGAAACACAUGAAGGUAUAGUAAGAAAGAGAAACACAGAUUCAUAACAACAUAAAAACUAGAAAACGAAACACAAGGAAACAGCAAAAGAAAUAAAUGUACCGGGGAAUUGUGAGAAGGCAAGAUGGGGAUAAAUGACAAAGAAAACAGGAAAACCCCGGGAAAUAGGGACAGCGGGGGACAGGAAGGCAGGGAUUACGGGGAAAAGAAUCAAUAAAACCCACGGGGAGAGAGAGAGAGAGAGAGAGAGAGAGAGAGAGAGAGAGAGAGAGAGAGAGAGAGAGAGAGAGAGAGAGAGAGUUGCGAUGAGACUGCAAGUAGGGAGACAGGGAUUAAGGGGCAGAAUAAACAGUAAAAGACGGAGAAGAAGGUGACGUAGGGAGAUGAUAAGACAGGGAGACAGAUAAGAUUACAGGCUUGGGAAAACAUUGAACUUACAGGUAUAGGAAGAGAUGGUGGCAGAGAGACAGGUUGAGAUAGAGAGACAACUUAUAACCUCAGAAAGACCCAUAGACAGAGACAGACACAGGGACACAGACGAGGGCACAGAAAAUUAUGAACGAGAUUGUGACAGAGAGACAGAAUGAGACGGAAAGAAAAUUUAUGAGCAUAGUAAAGCCCCACAAACAGACACAGACACGGGCACAGAAAAUAAUGAACGAGAUUGUGACACAGAGACAGAAUGAGAGAGAAAGGAGAGUUAUGAGCAUAGGAAGACCCACAAACACAUCCAGAAACAACAAUGAGUAUAGGAAACAUUAGUAUACAAAGAAACGAACACAACCACAUCAAAGACACAGUAAGACACGGAAACACGGGAAAUAGGGCACUGGAAACGGACACAUAGAGACACACAACGAAGCUAUUCAGGAACACAUGAUUGAGAGCCUAAACGAACAGAGAAGAGGACACAUCAACACACCAAAUAGACACAGUAGAACACGGAAAUACGGUAAAUAGGGCACAGGAAACGGAUAUAUGAACACCCAACACACAGCAGAGGUAUACAGGAACAGAUGAUUAAGAGCCUGAACAUUCACCCACUCACAGGAAACAGAGGUGUAGGUUAGGGACGCAGGGACACGGGGAUUGCACCAAGGACUAGUGACCCUGUGCCCCGCUUACUCAUGGGUUCCCUUCACUUAAUUAAUGCACGUCGCAGUAGUAAGAAGGAGGAAGUAAGCAGUCAGGCAGGCAGGGAGGAAGAGAGAGAGAGGGAGAGGGUCACCGUGGAAGCGUGUUGACUGUCUCUUGAAGGUGACUCGUGGAUGCUGGCGAUGGUGAGCCGCGAGAGUGAGACAGUGACGUAGAGGAUAAGACAGAAAGACACGUGUAUAGAAAGACCUUUAGACAGACACAGACAUAAGGUCACAGACGGGGAUAUAAGAGGCGGCAAACAGGCACAUAGAUGGGUAGAUAAAUAUAGAGUGAUAGAAUGAUGAACUUUCGAAGGUGAUAUGUGGGAUGGUGACGAGAAUAAGGUGUGAGAGUGAAGGAAAAUGAAUGUGAUAGUGAGUUAUAACUUUGAGAGUGAGGCAUCCAGUGGCGAUAAACAGAUAGAUGGAUAGAUAGAUGAAGAGAUGAACUUUCGAGUGAUUAUGUAGGAUAGUGAUGAGAAUAACGUGUGGGAAUGGAGGAAAUUAAAUAUGAUAGUGAAUUUUAACCGUGAGAGUGAGACAUCGAGAGGUAUGUAUAGAGAGCUAGAUAGAUAGACAGAUAGAUAAACUUACUUUCCAAUGGUGAUCUGUUGAAUAGUGACAUGACGAUAAAGAGCUGUGUGACUAAAGGAAGUGAAACAUGAUAGUGAGACAUCCGGUGGCAACAAACACACUGACUAACGCAAUGCCGAUGGUGUGUGAAGGCGUAGCGAUCGUCCUCUGAAGGUGGUCGAGGGGAUGGUGACGAGAGUGAGGCGCCAUAGUGAAAGGAAGGACUGGUGAUGGUGAUGGGACUGAAGGAGACGGAUACAGAGAGACAAAUUCACUUUCGCUAAGAUUGUGAGGAGUCAUGAUCGUAUUCUGAAAGUGAUUUGUGGAUAUGAGACGAGAAUGAGUAUUGAUAGUGAUGACAGACAGACAGACAGACAGACUCAAACUCACAAACUAAUAGACAGACAGACACACAGACUCACAAGGGCCCAGAUAGACAGAAACAGACAGUCACAUUCUCCCCAAAAUAGACAGACACAGACAGACGGAGAGACAGACAGGCUAAAAAACACAGCUACAAAGAGACAGAUAGGCUCAAAAAAUAGACACAAACAGACAGACAAACAGGGAGACAAACAGACUCACGCAAUGGCGAAUAAUGGCCUCUUAAUUUUUUCCCCCCGUCCCCAAUGGCAGCGUUAAACCAUCGACUUAACCUCCAUCACACACGCGGAAUAGCCGAAAAGGGGGUCGGGGAGUGGGGGGGGUAAGGGGGAGGGGGGCAGAAGGGGGGCGGGGAGGGGGGGGGGUAAGGGGAAGGGGGGCUAGAGAGGGGGUCGUUUAAUUCUUUUCUUCCUUCUCCCUUACCCUCGCCGUGUUUAUUUUGAGCCUCGGGCCUGUCUGUCUGUCUACCUCCGUGCGGAAAAAGUAAAGAGCAAAGUAAAGUAAAAGUAAGGGAGUAAAGUAAAUGAGCAAGGUCGCCACGGGGAGGGAGGAGGAGGGAGCGAGCUAUCUUUUCUCUCUCAUCUUUACUUUUUUUUUCCUCUUUUUAUUUUUAGUUCUCGAGGGAAAGUAAAGGUUGAUAAUCUCCUCUUUGUCUUCUUCAUAACUCCUCCAGGUAUAGUGUGUGUGUGUGUGUGUGUGUGUGUGUGUGUGUGUGUGUGUGUGUGUGUGUGUGUGUGUGUGUUAGCCCCUUUUCUCCUCGCCUUCAGUCUUUUCUGCCGUCCCUCAAGCCAGUCACUUUAGGCGCCUCGUCCCUGGGCCAGAAAGUUAUUAUGAUAAGUCCUCAAGGCGGUAAAAAGUGACAGGCGCCGCUCAGGAUGGACGCGUGUGAGCGGCGACGGUUACAUUGCAUAUUUUUCUGAGGUCUCAAUCUAACCGUUAAUAGAACCUCAAUCCGUUUAUCUUACAAGAGCGAGAGGAACGUAUUGUAUUUCCUGGCCGUUCAGUCGUACCAUUAAUAGAAUCUCACUACAUUUAUCUUUCAACUCGAGUGUGAAGAACGUAUUAAAGUGUUUUCCAGCCGUUCAAUCUAACCGUUAAUAGAACCUCAAUCCGUUUAUCUUACAAGAGCGAGAGUAACGUAUUGUAUUUUCUGACAGUUCUAAGCUUACCAUUAAUAGAAUCUCACUACGUUGAUCUUCCGAGAGCGAGAGGAACGUAUUAAACUGUUCUCUUUACCGCCUUUUAUAGCUAUUUUACACGGUGUUUAACGUCAGUCUAAGUCUUAGUAUAACGUCUGAGAUAUAUAAUAGGCUUAACACAUCAUUAGGAGCGUGACAAAUAGUUUUCUUCGCUGUCUUCAACAAUGACUUUAAGUGUAGUAUUAUGAGACAUUUCGCCGUCCAAGAACACAUAUUUGACAAGGCUUUCGUAGGAGUUGUGGGCAUUUCCAGGGGUAGUUUUAUGACCCUGGUGGUAGUUUGAUCCUUCCUCUGUACCCUGAGCCUAAAAAAAACACGCAUUAGAACCUCAUUGAUCCCCCCUGUGAUCUUUAGAUAUAGCUGAUGUGAGAAGGCAGAGUGUCUUGUAAUACCAGCCUUAGUGUUCUUUUCAGUCACGUGUGGAGACGAAAUGUUAAAGUCUUGUCAAUGAUUAACUUAUUUCCUAACUUCCUCCUGUCCGUUUUGCGUCUUCUCUUCAGCGUAGGUUAUGUUAGGUUAGGGCAGGAUACUUUUUGGACAAAUAUUAAGUUUCAUUGUUUUAUUUUCCGUCGCGAGCGGAGAGGAAAUGUUGAAAAGCUUGUCAAUGAUCGUAACUUCUUUGCUAACUUCGUCUUGCAACUUCCACGUCCUCAGCAGCUUAGGUUAGGGCAGGUUACGGUUGGCUGAUUUUCGCGUAUUUUUUCUCCGUCACGAGCGAAGAGGAAGGAAGUGUUGAAAGGAACGUCAAUGAUCGUAACUUCUUUGCUAACUUCGUCUUGCAACUUCCACGUCCUCAGCAGCUUAGGUUAGGGUAGGUUAGGUUAGGCUGUUUAGUGGACAAAUUUUACUUAUAUUUUUCCCCGUCACAAAGGAAAAGGAAGGAAGUGUUAAGUCUUGUCAGUGAUCACAAUUUUCUAACUUUUAUGCUCAUCAGCUUAGGUUCGGGUAGGUCAGGGCAGGCUAAUUUUCGCGUAUUUUUUUUCUCCGUCAUGAGCGAAAAGGAAGUAAGUAUUAAAAGUCUUGUCAAUGAUCACAACUUUUCUAACUUCUCUUCCAACUUAGUGUCCUCAGCGCAGGUUGGUUGAGGCAGUUCAGGUCAGGCUGCUUAAUUGAGAGACAUUUUUCACCUGUUAUUUUCGCAUCGCUGGGGAGGCGGCAUUUAAAGUUCGGUCAAUACUCACGACUUCUUUUUUUCAACUGCCUCUUGUAUACCUUCUGCGUCUUCAUCAGCUUAAAUUAGGGUAGGUUAGGGUAGUUUAGGUUACGCUGCUGAUUUAGACAAUUUGUUACGUAUUUUUCUUUGCUUUACGUUUAAGAAGACAACAUUUAAACCUUGUAUCCUUGUAUACUUUCCGCGUCUUCAUCAGCUUAGGUUAGGGUAGGUUAAGGUUACGCUAUUUUUUUACAAUUUUUACGUGUUAUUCUUUGCUUCACGUGUAAGGCAAUAUUUAAACUUGUCAGUGGCCGCAUCUUCCUCCUGCACCUUCCGCGUCGUUAUCGUGAGGGGGGGGGGUGUAGGAGGGGUGAGAAGGAGUGGUAUGUAGGCAUUGAGGGGCGUGAGGGGCAGAGGGAGGCUUGGAUACGGGCGGCGUGACAUCCAUUGAUCAUCCACCAAGGGCGUGACCCGUGCCAGGCUCCCCUACUUAACUUGAAUCCUCGUCUAUAGCCCCUUCCUCCUCCUCCUCCUCCUCCUCCUCCUCCUCUUCGCCACAUGUUAUAUCCGGGGCACAGAGAACGAGAGAAGUGCGGAAUGUGUUAAAUGAUCAGAAAUAGAAGUCAUAAAAAAAAUAGGGAAAAAUGAGUGGGAUACAGAAACGUCCGGGGCAGAAAGAACGCGUGAGAGAGAGAGAGAGAGAGAGAGAGAGAGAGAGAGAGAGAGAGAGAGAGAGAGAGAGAGAGAGAGAGAGAGAGAGAGAGAGAGAGAGAGAGAGAGAGAGAGAGAGAGAGAG